RNAcentral lists this ribosomal RNA (465 nucleotides) under uncultured bacterium. RNAcentral's name for it is "partial 16S ribosomal RNA". It matches the Rfam family "Bacterial small subunit ribosomal RNA", at positions 28 to 507 of the family's 1533-position model. The record is from RNAcentral.
GACGAACGCUGGCGGCGUGCUUAACACAUGCAAGUCGAACGGAAAGGCCCUGCUUGCAGGGUACUCGAGUGGCGAACGGGUGAGUAACACGUGGGUGAUCUGCCCUGCACUUCGGGAUAAGCCUGGGAAACUGGGUCUAAUACCGGAUAGGAGCCAUUUUUAGUGUGAUGGUUGGAAAGUUUUUUCGGUGUAGGAUGAGCUCGCGGCCUAUCAGCUUGUUGGUGGGGUAAUGGCCUACCAAGGCGGCGACGGGUAGCCGGCCUGAGAGGGUGGACGGCCACAAUGGGGCUGAGAUACGGCCCAGACUCCUACCGGAGGCAGCAGUGGGGAAUAUUGCACAAGGGGCGCAAGCCUGAUGCAGCGACGCCGCGGGGGGGAUGACGGCCUUCGGGUUGUAAACUCCUUUCGCUAGGGACGAAGCUUUUUGUGACGGUACCUAGAUAAGAAGCACCGGCUAACUACGUG